RNAcentral lists this ribosomal RNA (554 nucleotides) under uncultured bacterium. RNAcentral describes it as "bacterial SSU rRNA". It matches the Rfam family "Bacterial small subunit ribosomal RNA", at positions 777 to 1329 of the family's 1533-position model. The record is from RNAcentral.
AAUAGAUACCCGGGUAGUCCACGCCCUAAACGAUGCGAACUAGGUGUUGGGGAAGGAGACUUCUUUAGUACCGUAGCUAACGCGUGAAGUUCGCCGCCUGGGGAGUACGGUCGCAAGAUUAAAACUCAAAGGAAUUGACGGGGACCCGCACAAGCGGUGGACGAUGUGGAUUAAUUCGAUGCAACGCGAAAAACCUUACCUACCCUUGACAUGUCCGGAACCCUGGUGAGAGCCGGGGGUGCCCGAAAGGGAAUCGGAACACAGGUGCUGCAUGGCUGUCGUCAGCUCGUGUCGUGAGAUGUUGGGUUAAGUCCCGCAACGAGCGCAACCCUUGCCACUAAUUGCCAUCAUUUGGUUGGGCACUUUAGUGGGACUGCCGGUGACAAACCGGAGGAAGGUGGGGAUGACGUCAAGUCCUCAUGGCCCUUAUGGGUAGGGCUUCACACGUCAUACAAUGGUCGGUACAGAGGGUUGCCAAGCCGCGAGGUGGAGCCAAUCCCAGAAAGCCGAUCGUAGUCCGGAUCGCAGUCUGCAACUCGACUGCGUGAAGUCGG